RNAcentral lists this ribosomal RNA (406 nucleotides) under uncultured bacterium. RNAcentral describes it as "partial 16S ribosomal RNA". It matches the Rfam family "Bacterial small subunit ribosomal RNA", at positions 30 to 526 of the family's 1533-position model. The record is from RNAcentral.
AUUGAACGCUAGCGGCAGGCCUAACACAUGCAAGUCGAACGAGUGGCGUACGGGUGAGUAAUGUCUGGGCAACUGCCUGAUGGAGGGGGAUAACUACUGGAAACGGAAGCUAAUACCGCAUACCAUCAGCUGUGCCCAGAUGGGAUUAGCUAGUUGGUGGGGUAACGGUUCACCAAGGCGACGAUCCCUAGCUGGUCUGAGAGGAUGACCGGCCAAACGGAGACGGAGAACCGGCCCAGACUCCUACGGGAGGCAGCAGUGGGGAAUAAUGGACAAUGGGAGCAAGCCUGAUGCAGCAAUGCCGCGUGUAUGAAGAAGGCAUUCGGGUUGUAAAGUACUGUCAGCGGGGAGGCGUUACCCGCAGAAGAAGCACCGGCUAAAUCCGUGCCAGCAGCCGCGGUAAUUC